RNAcentral lists this ribosomal RNA (402 nucleotides) under bacterium. RNAcentral describes it as "partial 16S ribosomal RNA". It matches the Rfam family "Bacterial small subunit ribosomal RNA", at positions 355 to 776 of the family's 1533-position model. The record is from RNAcentral.
UGGGGAAUUUUGCACAAUGGGGGAAACCCUGAUGCAGCGACGCCGCGUGAUUUAGAAGGCCUUCGGGUUGUAAAAAUCUUUUCUAUGGGAAGAAAAUGACAGUACCAUAGGAAUAAGGACCGGCUAAUUACGUGCCAGCAGCCGCGGUAAUACGUAAGGUCCGAGCGUUGUCCGGAAUCAUUGGGCGUAAAGGGUACGUAGGCGGGUAAGCAAGUUAGAAGUGAAAUCCUAUAGCUCAACUAUAGUAAGCCUUUAAAACUGCUCAUCUUGAGGUAUGGAAGGGAAAGUGGAAUUCCUAGUGUAGCGGUGAAAUGCGCAGAUAUUAGGAGGAAUACCGGUGGCGAAGGCGACUUUCUGGCCAUAACCUGACGCUGAGGUACGAAAGCGUAGGUAGCAAACAGG